Molecule: ribosomal RNA, 465 nt
Filed under: uncultured bacterium
Lineage: Bacteria
Description: partial 16S ribosomal RNA
Rfam family: Bacterial small subunit ribosomal RNA
Source: RNAcentral
GAUGAACGCUGGCGGCGUGCUUAACACAUGCAAGUCGAACGAUGAAGCCCAGCUUGCUGGGUGGAUUAGUGGCGAACGGGUGAGUAACACGUGAGUAACCUGCCCUUAACUCUGGGAUAAGCCUGGGAAACUGGGUCUAAUACCGGAUAGGAGCGUCCACCGCAUGGUGGGUGUUGGAAAGAUUUAUCGGUUUUGGAUGGACUCGCGGCCUAUCAGCUUGUUGGUGAGGUAAUGGCUCACCAAGGCGACGACGGGUAGCCGGCCUGAGAGGGUGACCGGCCACACUGGGACUGAGACACGGCCCAGACUCCUACGGGAGGCAGCAGUGGGGAAUAUUGCACAAUGGGCGAAAGCCUGAUGCAGCGACGCCGCGUGAGGGAUGACGGCCUUCGGGUUGUAAACCUCUUUCAGUAGGGAAGAAGCGAAAGUGACGGUACCUGCAGAAGAAACACCGGCGAACUACGU